CCGGGUACAAUGCGAAGCGAAGCAGCGAUGUGAAGCAAAUCGCACCAAAGCCGGUCCCAGUUCGGAUAAGAGGCUGAAACUCGCCUCUUUGAAGUCGGAAUCGCUAGUAAUCGCAGAUCAGCAUGUUGCGGUGAAUACGUUUCCUGGUCUUGUACACACCGCCCGUCAAACCAUGAGAGUCGCCAACACCCGAAGUCCGCUUUGCGGCCUAAGGUGGGGGAGAUGAUUGGGGUUAAGUCGUAACAAGGUACC
Molecule: ribosomal RNA, 252 nt
Filed under: uncultured bacterium
Lineage: Bacteria
Description: partial 16S ribosomal RNA
Rfam family: Bacterial small subunit ribosomal RNA
Source: RNAcentral